UGAUGUUUAUUCAUUUGGGGUUGUAUUGGUUGAGCUUGUUACAGGACGGAAAGCAGUAGAUCUUAACCGGCCCAAGGGCCAGCAGUGUCUCACUGAAUGGGCACGCCCUCUAUUGGAGGAGUAUGCUAUAGAUGAACUGAUUGACCCACGGCUAGGGAACUGCUAUUCAGAACAGGAGGUUUAUUGCAUGCUUCAUGCAGCAUCAUUAUGUAUACGGCGGGAUCCUCAUUCUAGGCCUCGCAUGUCACAGGUGAGGAGAAACUUCCAAUAAUUUAGGCUUGUAUUACAAGAAAUGGAAUUAAUAUGGAAAUUUUAUAUCAUUUCUUUCCUCCACAUAUUUUUAGGCAAGUCUUCAAAACAUCCAGAUAGGUUAGCUUGACUAGUACAAUCCCAAUUACAGUAGUUUUGGAUGACACUCUACAUGGAUAUCUGAAAGCCAGGAAUUUUGUAGUAAAAAUAUAAUACAGAUUAUGAAUUCCUUUGCAUGGAUACUUGUGAGAAGUAAAAGACUGUUGGAAAACCUAAGAAGUGCCUUUUAAGGAAGUGUUUAAUUGGAUGGGAAGAUAUCAGGGAUCCUGUUUGUUGAAGAUGGCACAUUUUAUGAUGAGAAACUCUUUGUAGAAAUUUUUUUUUAUGAAUUAGCAAGGGUUCACCACAAACUCUUCUUUCAUGCAUCUAAUAUUCUGGCAUAUUAGAUAUUACUGCUGGUAUUUACGCCUUGCUUUUGUGUACUUGUUUCCCUCUUUUGGGAGAAGGUUCUCCGCAUACUAGAAGGUGACAUGCUAAUGGAUGCAAAUUACACAUCAACACCUGGGUAUGAUUUGGGAAACCAGAGCGGGCGGAUUUGGGCAGAGCAGCAGCAACAUUAUAGUGGUUCGCCGUCAAAUGAGGCAAUGGAAGGGUUCAGUAAGCUCUCUUUGGACACGCUGAGGCCACUGUUAUGGGAAAGGGAUAAAGGCCAGGAGGAUUUCAUGUGAAGAUGAUCUGUGAAAAGUUAAUCCACUGUGAAAAAUCUACGGUAUGCUAAAUAUGUCUCUGGCCCUUUUUGUGUUGUGUACUUGGUUUUUGCCUUCAAUAUUUUGGUUCAAUGCCAUCUAAGAUUUUGCUUUGUAUAGUAGAAGGGAAGUAGGGGUAGUAAUGUUUUGUAAUUCUUUUGGUAAAUGAUAGAAACUGAUGUUAAAUACCAAUAUGCACGAUUUUCUUUAGAAUCAGUGAAGCAGCUUUGAGGAAUUGGGUGUUCUUUGCAUGUAAAUUUGGUUGCAAUUGUGUUUUCCAUAAAGGAAAAAAAAAAAA
This 1293-nucleotide unclassified non-coding RNA is filed under the name Hevea brasiliensis (rubber tree). The record is from RNAcentral. Lineage: Eukaryota; Viridiplantae; Streptophyta; Magnoliopsida; Malpighiales; Euphorbiaceae.